GAUGAACGCUGGCGGCGUGCCUAAUACAUGCAAGUCGUGCGAACAGACGAGGAGCUUGCUCCUCUGACGUUAGCGGCGGACGGGUGAGUAACACGUGGAUAACCUACCUAUAAGACUGGGAUAACUUCGGGAAACCGGAGCUAAUACCGGAUAAUAUAUUGAACCGCAUGGUUCAAUAGUGAAAGACGGCUUUGCUGUCACUUAUAGAUGGAUCCGCGCCGCAUUAGCUAGUUGGUAAGGUAACGGCUUACCAAGGCAACGAUGCGUAGCCGACCUGAGAGGGUGAUCGGCCACACUGGAACUGAGACACGGUCCAGACUCCUACGGGAGGCAGCAGUAGGGAAUCUUCCGCAAUGGGCGAAAGCCUGACGGAGCAACGCCGCGUGAGUGAUGAAGGUCUUCGGAUCGUAAAACUCUGUUAUUAGGGAAGAACAAAUGUGUAAGUAACUAUGCACGUCUUGACGGUACCUAAUCAGAAAGCCACGGCUAACUACGUG
Molecule: ribosomal RNA, 497 nt
Filed under: uncultured bacterium
Lineage: Bacteria
Description: partial 16S ribosomal RNA
Rfam family: Bacterial small subunit ribosomal RNA
Source: RNAcentral